RNAcentral lists this ribosomal RNA (462 nucleotides) under uncultured bacterium. Its description in RNAcentral is "partial 16S ribosomal RNA". It matches the Rfam family "Bacterial small subunit ribosomal RNA", at positions 28 to 507 of the family's 1533-position model. The record is from RNAcentral.
GACGAACGCUGGCGGCGUGCUUAACACAUGCAAGUCGAACGGAAAGGCCCUUCGGGGUACUCGAGUGGCGAACGGGUGAGUAACACGUGGGUGAUCUGCCCUGCACUUUGGGAUAAGCCUGGGAAACUGGGUCUAAUACCGAAUAGGACCACGCGCUUCAUGGUGUGUGGUGGAAAGCUUUUGCGGUGUGGGAUGGGCCCGCGGCCUAUCAGCUUGUUGGCGGGGUAAUGGCCUACCAAGGCGACGACGGGUAGCCGGCCUGAGAGGGUGACCGGCCACACUGGGACUGAGAUACGGCCCAGACUCCUACGGGAGGCAGCAGUGGGGAAUAUUGCACAAUGGGCGCAAGCCUGAUGCAGCGACGCCGCGUGCGGGAUGACGGCCUUCGGGUUGUAAACCUCUUUCAAUAGGGACGAAGCGCAAGUGACGGUACCUAUAGAAGAAGCACCGGCCAACUACGUG